CAUUUUUGGUUUUUUUUUUUUUUUUGUGGUUUUUUUUAGUGAAGGUUGAAAGAAAACGGUUGGUUAGUUAGUUAAGUUGAAGUAGGAAGUGAUUUGUGUGACUCAUUCUCUGCAAAAAUAUGAUGACUAUAGACUGUAGUAGUAGUAGUACUUGUACUGGUUUGAGAGAUUAAGAUUAAGAUGAGGGUAUAGAAAGAGAAGGUGUGUCAGAGAAAGUAGGGGAUAGUGAGAGUGAGUGUGUGAGUGAAUUUGUGAUUGUAGAGUACAAAUUAAGGUGUGACUUGCAUAGUAUAUUUAGGGUAUAUAUAUAAGCACAAAUGAAUAUUUCAUGUAUUUUAUUAGUACUUUUUCUGUUAGAUUAAAGGAAUGUUUAGGCACAUUCACAAUUUUGAUUUUUU
This 398-nucleotide long non-coding RNA is filed under the name Trifolium pratense (red clover). RNAcentral describes it as "long non-coding RNA (TPRA_LNC010544)". Lineage: Eukaryota; Viridiplantae; Streptophyta; Magnoliopsida; Fabales; Fabaceae. The record is from RNAcentral.